GUGCUCGCUUCGGCACGCACAUAAUACUAAAUUGGAACGAUACAGAGAGAUAUAGCAUAACCCCUGCGCAAGGAUGACACGCAAAUUCUGAAGCUUGCCAUACUUUU
Small nuclear RNA from Xenopus laevis (African clawed frog), 107 nucleotides. The record is from RefSeq and is a predicted model, not a curated record. NCBI's taxonomy places the organism in Eukaryota, Metazoa, Chordata, Amphibia, Anura, Pipidae.